Molecule: long non-coding RNA, 1453 nt
Organism: Helianthus annuus (common sunflower)
Lineage: Eukaryota; Viridiplantae; Streptophyta; Magnoliopsida; Asterales; Asteraceae
Exons: 5
Source: RefSeq, a predicted model, not a curated record
GGGUAAUUAAUAGAUAAAUAGAGUGUAAAAAGGAGGGGUUAAAAUGCAAAAUUUCACAUGAACCACCAUUAGUCCAUUAUAAAUCUAAACCCUAAUUCUCCAUUUUAUUAUUCAGCGCCGCUUCUGACCGCCGGCCACUGUCGGUAAACCCUAGUUCACCACUGCCGCUUCAGACUGCCACUGUCGGCCUAGUUAACCACUGCCGCUUCAGACGCAUCUUCUGCCUCCACAUGCCGAUCCUAGACAGACGAAUGGGAACUGAAGAAUGCGUGUUAAUUAAUCUUGAUAGCAUGGUGAUUGUUCAUAGGAAUGUAUCACCAUGCGGAAGAUGAGAUCUGCGAACGUGAUGCGGCAAAAUGAUUUAAUUUCUGGUGUCGAAUGGCUUCAUAUAUUAAGUUCUAAGGAUCUUGGCAAGCUAAUAAGAGAUGCCUGGUAUCAUUAAAUAUACUAUAAACGGAUCAUCUUUUGAGAUAAAUGUGGAAAAUCUAGGAAGACCUCUUGUCCAACACAUAAUGAAAGAUAUUGUAUCAUCACUUAAGCCAGAUAAGCAGCAUUUCAAAUAUUUGUUAAGUGGUUUAAAAUUAUUGCAUACUCUAUGGAAUAUUGCAUCUCACCACCCAACACUUGCGCGGAAGGCUCUGUUCCUCAAAUUGAAGGAACAUCUGAUGCCAAAGAUGCUGAACCAGACUCUAUACUUAAAGCCCGAGACUCUGGGAAACUGCCACAACUAACCUGGGUUGAAGAUGGAAGAGGCUUGGAUGAUUUAUCAGGUCCAGAAAUGAGUGGGCUUGGGCACAUGGUCAAGCCCAACACUUCGAAAGCUGAUGGGUCACCAUCUGCGUCAAACGGGCUGGACACGAAUAUUGUCAUAUAUAGUUCCUGAUGUAGAUGACGAAGCUGCUCCAAAUGAUAUCCCUAGGGAUGAAGCAGAAAAUUCGGCCUAACAUGGGCCCAAUGUGGAAGUGGCAGCUGUUAACUCCCAGGCUGGAAUGUCAAGAAAGAGGCCAGCUAGUACGGAGGCCUAUGAUUCUGAUAGUACAUUUGUACGUAUCACACCCUUUCUGGCCCACAGGGAAGGACCUGGUAAACUUGGAUCCGAACUAUGAAUAUUGUGUGGUGUUCCGGAAGCUUGAGCGUGAAGCUUAGGUGAACAAUGGGUUGACUCAUUUGGCGAUAUUGUGUGGUCAUGAACCGAUGUGUGGCUCGACAAAAAUAAUAACAAUAUGCAACUACGGGUGGUUGUGGACCUGACAAUGCGGUUUGUUGACGUGGUUUUUGGACUCCCAUGGAUGGUUUUUGUCAAGAAUCUGAAAUUUUUAGUUUGGCACAGAAAAGUGAGAAGCUUGUGAUGAUUGAUUAAGAUUUGAAGAUUAGUUUUAAUGACAAUUCAGAGAGUUGGUUGUGAUGAUUGAUUAAGAUUUGAAGUUUUCAAUAAAGAUACACCUUUUUAUAA